GACGAACGCUGGCGGCGUGCUUAACACAUGCAAGUCGAACGGAAAGGCCCUGCUUUUGUGGGGUGCUCGAGUGGCGAACGGGUGAGUAACACGUGAGUAACCUGCCCUUGACUUUGGGAUAACUUCAGGAAACUGGGGCUAAUACCGGAUAGGAGCUCCUGCUGCAUGGUGGGGUUGGAAAGUUUCGGCGGUUGGGGAUGGACUCGCGGCUUAUCAGCUCGUUGGUGGGGUAGUGGCUUACCAAGGCUUUGACGGGUAGCCGGCCUGAGAGGGUGACCGGCCACAUUGGGACUGAGAUACGGCCCAGACUCCUACGGGAGGCAGCAGUGGGGAAUAUUGCACAAUGGGCGGAAGCCUGAUGCAGCAACGCCGCGUGCGGGAUGACGGCCUUCGGGUUGUAAACCGCUUUCGCCUGUGACGAAGCGUGAGUGACGGUAAUGGGUAAAGAAGCACCGGCUAACUACGUG
This 467-nucleotide ribosomal RNA is filed under the name uncultured bacterium. RNAcentral's name for it is "partial 16S ribosomal RNA". It matches the Rfam family "Bacterial small subunit ribosomal RNA", at positions 28 to 507 of the family's 1533-position model. The record is from RNAcentral.